Molecule: ribosomal RNA, 515 nt
Filed under: uncultured Cladosporium
Lineage: Eukaryota; Fungi; Ascomycota; Dothideomycetes; Cladosporiales; Cladosporiaceae
Description: eukaryotic LSU rRNA
Rfam family: 5.8S ribosomal RNA (bases 186-339)
Source: RNAcentral
UCUGUAGGUGCACGUGGGGAGGGAUCAAUACAAGAACCCCCGGGCUUCCACCUGGUUACUCACAACCCUUUGUUUUCCGAUUCUGUUGCCUCCGGGGCGACCCUGCCUUUGGGCGGGGGCUCCGGGUGGACACUUCAAACUCUUGCGUAACUUUGCAGUCUGAGUAAACUUAAUUAAUAAAUUAAAACUUUUAACAACGGAUCUCUUGGUUCUGGCAUCGAUGAAGAACGCAGCGAAAUGCGAUAAGUAAUGUGAAUUGCAGAAUUCAGUGAAUCAUCGAAUCUUUGAACGCACAUUGCGCCCCCUGGUAUUCCGGGGGGCAGGCCUGUUCGAGCGUCAUUUCACCACUCAAGCCUCGCUUGGUAUUGGGCAACGCGGUCCGCCGCGUGCCUCAAAUCGUCCGGCUGGGUCUUCUGUCCCCUAAGCGUUGUGGAAACUAUUCGCUAAAGGGUGUUCGGGAGGCUACGCCGUAAAACAACCCCAUUUCUAAGGUGACCUCGGAUCAGGUAGGAUCC